AAGUCGUAACAAGGUUUCCGUAGGUGAACCUGCGGAAGGAUCAUUAUUGAAUACGAUUGGUACUGAUGCUGGCCCUUCACUGGGCAUGUGCUCGUCCAUCUAUUUAUCUUCUCUUGUGCACAUCUUGUAGUCUUGGAUGAACCCUUGCGCAUUCGUGCGGUCUGGGAGUUGCGAAUUAAAACCUUGCUUCUCCUGCUUGUCCAAGGCUAUGUUUUCAUAUACACUAUAAAGUUACAGAAUGUCAAUUAACGACUUGUGCUUGUCACGGUCAUUAAACCUAUACAACUUUCAGCAACGGAUCUCUUGGCUCUC
This 312-nucleotide unclassified non-coding RNA is filed under the name air metagenome. Its description in RNAcentral is "partial contains small subunit ribosomal RNA, internal transcribed spacer 1, and 5.8S ribosomal RNA". The stretch from base 1 to 46 matches the Rfam family "Eukaryotic small subunit ribosomal RNA", at positions 1786 to 1831 of the family's 1831-position model. The record is from RNAcentral.